This 230-nucleotide ribosomal RNA is filed under the name uncultured bacterium. RNAcentral's name for it is "partial 16S ribosomal RNA". It matches the Rfam family "Bacterial small subunit ribosomal RNA", at positions 107 to 334 of the family's 1533-position model. The record is from RNAcentral.
UAGAGUAACGCGUGAGGAACCUGCCUCAAAGAGGGGGACAACAGUUGGAAACGACUGCUAAUACCGCAUAAGCCCACGGCUCGGCAUCGAGCAGAGGGAAAAGGAGUGAUCCGCUUUGAGAUGGCCUCGCGUCCGAUUAGCUAGUUGGUGAGGUAACGGCCCACCAAGGCAACGAUCGGUAGCCGGACUGAGAGGUUGAACGGCCACAUUGGGACUGAGACACGGCCCAG